GUACAGACAGUCACAUGGUUUCUGUGAAAAGCCAAGGAUGUGGUUGGGGUGAAACUGAAAGCACUGAAGCUCUCAGUAAAACAAGGCACAACCUGGGCAGAAGUCACACUGACAACCUGAAGCAGCCACUCAUCUGUCCGGGACACUGAAGGAAGGAGCUGGUAAUCAGUCACUGGUGAGCGGUGAGAUCGUGUGAUCGGAGCCACAGACACAACUCUAGUGAGAGGACGCCACCUGGAGUCUCCCGUGUGCAUGCGUCCCUUGCACAAGACAUCACAUAUGCUAAUUAUAUGUCAUACCUAACACUGCCCCUGGCCCUGGAUACCACAGCCAGGAGAAACCUCCUCCCUGUGUCCAGUCCAUCAAGCCUGGUAGAAUUUCACAAGUUUCUGCAAGAUCGCUCAGUCUUUUGAACAGCAAGAAUAGAGGGCAGAUUUACUCUAUUUCUCUUCAUGUGACAAACCCGUGUAAACCUGAAACUUGGACUCUGUAUCUCUCUCCAUAGAUGCUGCCUGAACCCCUGAGCACUUCCUGGAUUCUCUGAUUUUACCCCAGGAAACUGUCUGGAGAAUCAUCAAUGCACUCCCUCUAUUGAAAGUGCACAUUUCAUUAGGUAAGGACCAGGUUUGUACACAAUCCUUCAGAUAUGGUCUCAAAAAAGAUACAUAGCAGAAAGCAUUCUAUCCAGAUAGAUCACAACUUGGUUUGGAAACUUCUCUGCCCAAGACCAUAAGAUAUUGCAGAGGGUUGGGAAUAUUGUCCAAUCCAUCACACAGACCAGACAAACCAUCAUGGACUAUAUUAACACUUCUGCUGCCUCAGGAAAACAGCCAACAUAAUCAAAGACGACUCACACCAUGCUCUCUU
Molecule: long non-coding RNA, 867 nt
Organism: Leucoraja erinaceus (little skate)
Lineage: Eukaryota; Metazoa; Chordata; Chondrichthyes; Rajiformes; Rajidae
Exons: 3
Source: RefSeq, a predicted model, not a curated record